ACUCCUACGGGAGGCAGCAGUGGGGAAUAUUGCACAAUGGGCGCAAGCCUGAUGCAGCCAUGCCGCGUGUGUGAAGAAGGCCUUCGGGUUGUAAAGCACUUUCAGUCGUGAGGAAGGUAGUGUAGUUAAUAGCUGCAUUAUUUGACGUUAGCGACAGAAGAAGCACCGGCUAACUCCGUGCCAGCAGCCGCGGUAAUACGGAGGGUGCGAGCGUUAAUCGGAAUUACUGGGCGUAAAGCGCAUGCAGGCGGCCUGUUAAGUCAGAUGUGAAAGCCCGGGGCUUAACCUCGGAAUUGCAUUUGAAACUGGCAGGCUAGAGUCUUGUAGAGGGGGGUAGAAUUUCAGGUGUAGCGGUGAAAUGCGUAGAGAUCUGAAGGAAUACCAGUGGCGAAGGCGGCCCCCUGGACAAAGACUGACGCUCAGAUGCGAAAGCUGGGGAGCAAACAGGAUUAGAUACCCUGGUAGGAUAGCG
This 472-nucleotide ribosomal RNA is filed under the name uncultured bacterium. RNAcentral describes it as "bacterial SSU rRNA". It matches the Rfam family "Bacterial small subunit ribosomal RNA", at positions 335 to 801 of the family's 1533-position model. The record is from RNAcentral.